UACAGAGGGGGCAAGCGUUGUUCGGAAUUACUGGGCGUAAAGGGCGCGUAGGCGGCCUGUUAAGUCGAACGUGAAAUCCCCGGGCUCAACCCGGGAACUGCGUCCGAUACUGGCAGGCUUGAAUUCGGGAGAGGGAUGCGGAAUUCCAGGUGUAGCGGUGAAAUGCGUAGAUAUCUGGAGGAACACCGGUGGCGAAGGCGGCAUCCUGGACCAAUUCUGACGCUGAGUGAGCGAAAGCCAGGGGAGCAAACGGG
This 254-nucleotide ribosomal RNA is filed under the name uncultured bacterium. Its description in RNAcentral is "partial 16S ribosomal RNA". It matches the Rfam family "Bacterial small subunit ribosomal RNA", at positions 524 to 776 of the family's 1533-position model. The record is from RNAcentral.